RNAcentral lists this long non-coding RNA (32687 nucleotides) under Nicotiana benthamiana. RNAcentral's name for it is "long non-coding RNA (NBEN_LNC007122)". Lineage: Eukaryota; Viridiplantae; Streptophyta; Magnoliopsida; Solanales; Solanaceae. The record is from RNAcentral.
AAUCUUUCCCUCCGCCUUCAAAUCCCGGAAUGCAGAUACUGUUCUUGUGAAUCCUUUAUCCUUCACUUUCAACUUGUUCAGAGUAGAGACAGGGCAAAUAUUUGCACUGGAACCAUUGUCAACCAAUACCCUGCUAACCAUAUAAUCUUCACAUUUCACCGUAAGAUAGAGGGAUCUAUUGUGCUCAGUACAUUCCAUAGGCAACUCAUCAUCAGAAAAAGAGACUCUAUUCAAAUAUUUUAUUGGCGAUCUUUUCCAGGUGGCUCACUAAGAUUUUGUCGGGAACAUUAGCCUCUUUCAGGAUUUUCAUCAAGGCCGGCGAUGCUCGUCUGAGUGGAUUACAAUGACAAUAGUGAAAUCUGAGCAUGCGUCUUUCUCAACUCCUCCACGUUGGAAUAGUCUUGUACUUUCAUUUUUCUCAGAAAUUCCUCCGGUUCUUCUUCAGUUACUACUUCUUCACCAGAACUAGGCUAUAUUUGGAGGUUUUAGCUUUCCUUAGCUCUUUCGGGGUAAAACAUCUCCUUGAACGAUUUAAUCCAUAGUCCUCAUAGACUUCUUCAUUAACUUCUUUUCCCUUGUAGGUCAACGUCACUCGUUCAUAGUUCCACGGGAAAACCUUGCUGUUGACUAUUGGCAGAUGGGUUAUAGGCUUGAUGAUGACAGGAUCUGUGUGGGCACCUUCUAUAAUUACGACAGGCUUGUUUGCGACGUUUCUUGUUUUGCUGCAAUGUCACUUGGGGUUCUUUUCUCAAGUACCGCAGAUGGCCCACCGAUUGUCUUGCUUAUCUUUUUCACUGGUCCCUCAACCAUUGAUUUUUUAAUUAGCUUGACCUCACUAGACCAAAUCAUCAUGAUAGUAUGCGAAGGCUUCUUGGGCUUCCCUCCCUUAUGUACUAUCUGGAUCAUAUUCAUUUCCUGAUGGGUUGGAAACGGGUUAUGGUUGAUGUUGGGUGCAUCUGGAGCUUGGAAUUUAAUCCAAUUUGUAUUAAUAAGCUCUUGGAUAACAUUUUUCAAGUUCCAACACUUCUCUGUAUCAUGCCCCAGAGUACCAGAACAAUAUUCAUAACUUACAGAAUAGUCAAGAUUCUUCGGAGGAGGAUCUGGCAAUUUUGACUCAAUUGGCCUCAGCAUAUCCAAUUGCCUCAGCCUGUGGAACAAAUUAGUAUAGUAUUCUCCCAAUGGAGUGAAUGCUUUGUUCCUUUGCAACCUCUCGUUCUUAAAUGCUUGAUUGGGACAAAAACCUAAUCUAGGAGGGUUAUAGUAGGCUCCUGGGGGUGGGUAGGUAUUUUGUGGGGCUGGCACACGAUUUUUGCAUGGACGGAAAGUUAGGUGUAUGUUUGGGCAUGGUGGAUAGAAAAAUGAGGUUCUCGUGAUGCGUAGUAAUGUUGGGGUGGAUUUUACAGGGUUUGGGGGUAGGUUUGGUGGUGGGGUUGAAGCUGAUUAUAAUAGUGGGACGGGCCCUUAGAUCCGAACCAAGCUCCUGAAUCAAUUGUUGCCACUUCCUCUUUCUUCUUCUUUCUGACUACUCCCCCAAUACCGUUCUAAAUGGCCUGUGUAGUUGCCUUAAUAGCCGAAUAACUCAUGAUUUUAUUUGACUUAAGCCCUUCUUCUACCAUGCCACCCAUCUUCACUACUUCAUUGAAGGACUUGCCUAUGCCUGAUACCAAAUGGACGAUCUAAGUAGGUUCUAGGGCAUGCAGAAAAUAAUCCACUAUUUUGCUUCUUUCAUCAGAGGGUCAACCCUUACUUCUUGUUCUCUCCAACAGAAGUCGUACUCCCUAAAACUUUCGCCAGGCUUUUUCUCGAUCUUAGUUAAAGACAGACAACCCAGAAUAAUGUCGAGGCUAUACUAGAAAUGACAAGCAAAUUCUUGGGGUAGAUCAUCCCAUGUAUACCACCUGCCGUGACCCUGCCAAGUGUACCACUCCAGCACCAAACCACUCAGACUAUGGCUAAAAUACGCCAGUAGUAACUCAUCUUUCCUGCCAUCUCCCCUUAUUUUGCUAUAGAAACCUCUCAAGUGCGCCACCGGGUCUCCGUGCCUAUCAUACAAAUAAAAUUUGGGCAUCUUAAACCCCAACGGCAAAUGAUCAUCUGGAAAUAAACAUAGAUCUUUGUAAGACAUGCUCACCUAACCUCCCAAUCUCUGCAUAUUCCUGAAUGAUUGUUCCAGGCUCCUAACCUUCCUAAACAUCUCCUUAUGUUCAAGAUUUUUAGACCGUUUCUCAGUUUCCACAGGGAGAUUGAAGCAAGGAGUGUAGGACUAAGGUUCAGGAGCCUUGAAAGUGGGCUCCGAGGGGUAAUAUUGGUUAUCGUGGGCCUGGAAUAAGGGCUCGCUAGAAAAUCGAUGGAGUGUAGUGGAUGGGGUUGCCACAAAAACAUGAGUGGCUGGUGGAGGAGGGUAUGGAACUUGUUUGGAUGGUGGGGCUUGUAGUGUUUGGGAAGUGAUGCUCUGGUAGUGUUUGGGAAGUGAUGCUCUGGUAGUGGUUGGUAAAUGGGAAAGCCCGGAGAUGAAUCGGUAGUGGGAGGUUCCUGGGAUUGAGCCAAUAAUGUGACAAAAACAGGGUUAGCGGGGUAAGGUGGUGGUGGGUGGCCUUUUGUCCAGGCCUGGUACAUCUCGGCCAUAUGUGUUGUUUCAGCUUAUACAACUCUUCUUUUAGAUUGACAUCUGACUCAUCCCCCUCUCUCUACAGAUCGAUGAUACUUGCUUCCAGUUCUUGGUUAUCCAUGAUGAAUUUGUCUUUGGACCUGGUGUUGUAUGGAUGAGUUACCAGAAUGACAAACAAACUAACCACCUGCCUGGACUCAUUAUCAACAACAAACUUGUUAGCGAUUAGAGCUUAAUGGAUAGGCAACCACACAUUUGGGGAAUGUAAUGCACCUAGCAGUUAACCAUUUCUAUUAUGCAUUUGAUCAGUUACUUGCGUCAUCCCGACUUUCCCUUAUUUGCAACAUCUUCUUCUCUCUUUUUCCACUUAUGCCUUUCUCUGCUUGACUUCUUGUUGUUCUUUAUUCUCUCAUUUCUCUCUCUUGUUUUAACAUUGUUUCCUUCCCACGGUUUCUUGUUUUCUCUCUUUUUUCUUUUCUUUUUCUCUUUUGUUUUCCUCUUUUGUUUUCUCUCUUAUUUUUUUCUUUUAAUUAUGAUCGAAUCUUAUGGAGAUUGCCUUUGUAUCAUGAACCCACAUGAAUCAGAUCGACAAUAGUUCCCCCUGGAUAAGGGAAAAAAUAAAAAAUAAAAAUAUUUUGGGAUUUUCAAAUUUUCCAUAAAAAUAAAAUAUUUUGAUUACAAAGACUCAUCCUACCAAAUUUAAUCGUAAAAACUAACAGACUCGAUAAGGGAAACUACCAGACUCCAAUAGAAAUAUGAAAAUACAGACAAACAGACUCCAACAGAAAGAUGAAAAUGCAGUCUUGAAAACAAACUAACAGACUUCAACAGAAAGAUGAAAAUACAGACUCGAGUAAAAAUCAUGAAUAAAUUAAUGCCUCAACUACUCUUGGGGCCCGUGGGACAUCAGUCGGUCUCGCCACGAGCCUACGCGCCAAAUCUCAUUUAAGAUGGUAGAGAUCCUCCAUUAUCUAGAAGACAAAGGUCAUUACAAUGGCAAAAAACAUGGAUCUAGUCAUGUCCUCACACCUACUGCAUUUCAUCGCAAUAUAGUCGGUGAUCCUUCUGACUCUUUCUCUUAUGACACCCUUUAUUUGCAAUAACCGCACAAUCUGCUGGGUCCUAGCUUCCAAAGUUUAUUCAGCUACAUGAUUCUGUUCUUGAAGUUGUUGCAAAUCUCUUUCUAACUAUGUCAUUGUUGCAUAACAGUGUUCUCUUUCUGCUUUAAAGUCUUUUGCCUGCUUAAUCAUUUUGUUCUCAUGGACGGUGAUCUUUUUCGUCAACCCCAUACCUCAUUGCCAUAUUUCUCUUUUAACUGUUUAACCAAGCGUGCUCGCUCCUCCAUAAUCUUAGCCAAUUUUGUUCGAGCCCUUAGUUCACCCUAUGCUUUGUUAAGAUCAAAACCAUACUCACUCACCUUCUGUCUAAGGUUAUUUAUAAGCUUUCCAUCUUUUUCACUUCAAACAAGGUUUUCGGCUGCUAAUUUGAUUUCUCGAAUUUGAGCUCGAAGGGCAUCAUUUUCUAUGGCUAGAUUUUUCUUCUCGCCCUCAUCCGCGGCGGCUUACAAAUCAUUCUCAAAUUGAAGAUCCUUGACCUACUUUUCCAGCUUGCUUAUGGUAGCCCUAUACUCAUUUUCUCUAGCCAACCAAUCCCAUUGCACAUGUGCUCCAUUAGUGAAUUAUUGCACAUGGGGCUUUUUUGCGGGCCGUUCAACUCUUGAUGGACUCGAGAUCUUUUAUCGUACCAAGUAGUUUAGCUAGGCUUCAACUCACCUCUGGAUAGAUCUUGUACUUGAGUCUUGGGCUCUAAGAACCUGCACUGAUGCCAAAUCCAGCGCACCUUCUUUUCUGGGAAAGCUGCUUCUGGUUCCAACUCAAUGAUCUAUCGACUCAAAUCCUCAUCAGGUGGGAUGGUCUGGUAUCUGUCUAACUAACGUAGAACUCUAUGCGAGGCAUAAGCCUGGAUGCUCCGAAGGCCCAUCAGUAGAAGAAAACACAACUCGACUGACAUAUGAAUGAAUUUACCGAUCGAGAGCCACCCGAAUGUCCAUUCAAUCUUUUUUGCAGUCAAAGAGCUCAAGUAUGCAUACCAUACUUCCAUACUGUUCGGAAAAUCACAACCCUCCACCCGUUGUUCAUGUUUUUCAAUGCAUUCAAGACUGGUCAUGCCACAGUUCAUAUACCUCGGGCGGUGGCAAAGGUGUUCUUCCAUCCAAAGUUGUAAAAGCAUAUUGCAUCCUUCAAAAAACCUUCCCCCUUCUCGGCAGAGGGUCAGAGCUCGGUAAAUUUCUGCCAAGAUCAGCGGUACGAUAGUCCCAUUUGCCUUUUUCAUCAUGACGUUAGCUAUCCCUACGAGCCCCAACUCUAUGUUCCCAUCUUUUCUGGGGAAAAUCAAAACGCCACUAUAAAAUCUAAUCCUCUCCUAGCUUCCCACUUAUCUUUGUUUCCCGAGUUAGUAAGACCGCUAUCUGGCAUCUCGAAGCCGCAGAGAUUCUUGUAACGUCGGUACAAAAUCCUUUGGCCAAAUUUUCGUCUUGAAUUUCCCGACUGAUGCUUAACAGGUCCAAAACAUUGUGAGGGUUAUUGUUCUAGGUGUCACCGGGCAUUGAUUUAUAAUAUUUCCACUAAAACCAGCGUAACCCGCUAUCAAGCAUAGGAGUUAGCUCAAAAUCAGCAAAGUGGAAUACAUUAUGUGCUGGAUCACAGAAGGGUAUUAGGGACUCAAUUACAUCAUUCCUCGGCUUUAUCUUCAAGAUCCCGACAAGACCACCCAACAUUUUUAUCACAAUUUUUCUGCUGUCCUCCCCCAAAUCAUGCCACCACAUAUGUAGCUCUAACGGGAUUUUCUCACGGAAUAAGAAAGGUUCAUUUUGAGUUGUGCUCAUCCUGCAAAUUUAUUUAAGGUGAUUGAUUAAAAGACAAUGAUUUACUUUGACUCCAGAGAAAAAACACUCAUUUUCCAAAAUUUAAAACGAAACAUUCUUGUGAAUACAGCCCUUCAACACCUUACGAUAAAAGGAUAAAUUUUAGGGCAGUUUUUGUUGAUUACCAAAAUUUGAAAAAGGACCCUAAGUGUCUAUUCUUGCAAUAAACGGCCUUCCAGCACCUUUUGGGGCAUUUUUGUCUAUUUGGAUAAGAAUAUGGCGCCACGUUAUUACUCAUGACAAAACAACGACACUUCAUGCACAGAGUAUUUUUUAUAUUUUUGCAAAAAUAGUAUGACCCAAUGUGGGUGGCCUUCGUAAUUCACAUCCGGUGAGAAUCAAACUUGCAUAGUUCGGCCAAUUUUGAUGCAACAGAAGACACAAACUUUUGAAACAACUCUUUCUUUCAUCUAUUUUUUUUAGAAAAUUUGGCAGAGUUUUCGGGUAGUUUGGUCACCGAUUUCUCACAGGUGGGUAAUUUCCUCACUCUCACCUCAAUUUGGGCGGGUAGUUUCCUCACUCUCACCUCAAUUUGGUUUGUCUAUAUUUUUCCCUUAUUCUAGAAGCCGGUCAAUAUGCAGUCCAAAUCAAAUAAAUACGCAAGUAGCAAGCAAAAUGUAUCAGGACGUUCUUUUGAUUUCAAGUGCACAUGUCCUAGAGGACCUAACCCGUUGAGUCCCCAAAGUCAAAAUGCACAUGAUGCAAACAAGCGUUUCUACUAGGGAUCCGAUAUGAUGCUAUAUUAUACUAGGUUUGAGAACCUGGGUUUAUUCUUCUAUACAUGGCUUACCUGAGCGGACAGCUCGAGGGGGGGGCAGCGUAUCGGGAAUACAAAAGCUUCACCGACUUUGCAACUUGUCCGAACCUCGUUUUAAAAUUGGAAUGACUCUAAAAAAAUAGAAGUCACACGAAGUGCACACUUCCCAGAUGGUUUAUAAGACUCUGAGAGAGGAUGGAUUUGUAACAAUUUAUAUACAAUUCAACAAUAUCAAAACGGUCAAAAAAACAUUUAGCACAUUAGGCCCAAACAUGUGAAUAAAACCAGAUAAUAAAUAAAUUCAAAUAUAACAAUUAUUCUAAGCUCAAAUUCUGAACCCUAAACCAGAAGUUCUAGGUUCUUAUUCCCCAGCAGAGUGCAAGAGCUAUCACACCUCCUUUUUCUUACCCUCGAAAGGGAGUAAGGAAGUUUUUUCCAAUUAAGUGACUAUCGAGACAGGAUUAUUUGUUUUCAAUUCAGAUCCGCCACUUGGGAUAAUUUAUGGUGUCCCAAGUCACCGGUUUAAAUCCUCAAUGGAGGAAAGAUUGACUUUGUUUACGGUUCGCGAACACAGAAAUCGGGUAAUGAAUUCUGUUAAUCCGGGAGAAGGUGUUAGGCAUUCUUGGGUUCUGUGGUUCUAGCAUGGGCUCUCAACUAUUAGAUUUGGCCUAUUUACUAAUUCUAAAACACCUUUAAGCCUAUGUGCAUUUUAACUUUAAAUCACUUUUAAUUAUUUUAAGGAAGAUUUUAACGUCAUCUAAAACACGUCUUUGGAUCACGCCACAUGAAAUACACUUGCAGUCCAAGACACACUUUAUUUGAUAUUGUAAACAUUUAGAUUUGGGUCACAUGAAAUGCACACCCGAGUUUAGGAAGAUAAUUUUUUAAAUAACGCGCCAAAUGCAACUACGCACUUUCAGUUUUGCGAGGGCCAUGGAAAAUUCAGCUAAAUGUAACGCCUCAACUUUUAAGGAUUUAGAUAUUCAAGAUCAAUUAAAUGAGGUCCGCGCACUUUGAGAUUUUAUUUGGCACGGCCCACCUCGAUUCGAAUUUAAAAGAAAAUUCAAACUAAAAUUUUGAGAGCCAUAAGCUAUAUGCAUUAUAUGAUAUGGCUCACCUCAAUUCAUUUUAGGAAGACUAGUUAAUUAAGAGAAAACUUAAAGGGAUUUUAACUAACCAUUCAAACUCAUAUAACAACUACCUAAAGAGCUGAACUUGACGAAAUGUCAUGGGCUCAAGCAGCCAAGAGGUAAGAAGUCUGAUUACAAAGGACUUCAAGCUUGGGCCCAAAAUGAUUUGAAUUUUUGGUGACGACAAGGACGUCCAAGAGUAUAUAAUACGCAAACCAGUUCUGAUUUUGAAUGCCAUAACUAGGCCAAUUUUAGGCCCAAUUUUCAGAACCAAAACUUAUGUAAAAUCAAUUAAAUAACAAUCAACCCAAAACCAUAUGAAAAUAUGAAAUUUCACUAGCAUUUAAUUCUGAAUUUUAAUUACUAAUUUCGAGUCCAACCCAUUACGAGAAAAUCUAGAAGCAAAAAAAGAAACACUAGGCUCAAGAAAUAAGCUCGAGCAGCCAUGGUAUACUAUCCUCUCUUGCUAAGGACCUCAAAUCCCAGGCUUAAGAAGCCCAAACCUUGCCAAAAUCCAAAUCAAGGACCAAGACUCCAUAUCGAGUUCUCACCGGCAAUAAAAUACCAGCUGCAUUUAAAAAACAAAGGAUAAGCUUCAUUAUUCCACAAUCACUGGAAUAUAGGGAAAUUUUAAAAGCUACUGAAAAUGCAUGCUUAAACUUUAACUAUAAUGAUAAUGCAUUUUACCAAUAUUCAUGCUUGAAUCCAAACUUAAACUCAAACACAGCAUGAAAAAAACUUCAAAACCAUUCACCUUCCUCAAUACCAAACAGUCCCGAGUUCUAGAUAAUUAGCACAAGUUGCUUCAAUCCAAAUUCAACACCCAAACUUCUUAAACAGAAUAAGUUCAUUUCUGUAGCACAUCAAUAACCUAAGGUAACUGAGCUAACAUGAACAACACAUGAUCCAUUACAGAACUUUUAAACAAUGGUAGAAGCAAAUGAAAUGGGAAUCUAAGACAACGUGCAUUCAAUCAGGCCUCAAUUGGAAGUACAUGUUCUUAGCUACUUGUUGACAAUUGUUUGAAGUAAUACUUGGAAAUCGCCAAAAGGAAAAGCCAAGAGAGUGAGGGAGAAGCAAACAACAGAAAUCAACAGUGUAACAGUGUAGGAACCCAGAUUCAAGCAAUAAAACAGUAAAAAAACCAAACAACAAUACUUAAAACAAACUUUUGCAGGUCCCAAAUUCAAUCCAUUUCAACCCAAUUGCAAGAUUUUGCCUUUUUUGGGAGUGUUAACAAAGCAAUGAAGAUCAAUAAACAAGAAAUCAAACAAAUUUUGAGUAGGUUUGAACAAGGAAAUGUAUGAAAUUCAGGAAUAUUUCAAAGUUUUUCAAAGGAAGUAGCCAUUUCAGCUUUUAGGAUCUUUUUCUCUCUUAAGUAUAACUUCAAUCUCAAGUAACGAUGCCUUUAUAGGCAAGGUAUUAGGGCUGAAGAAAAUGAGCUAAAUUUUGCACCCUAACCCUUUUGAAAUUUUGGUUUUUUCUUAGACACCCUUAGUCUAAAAUUCAAAAAUUUAGAUUAAUCCCCACCCCAACUUCUAAGAAGCUUCCUCAGUUAGUUACCAGAGACUCUCCAAGCUAAUCUACCCAUAGUGCCCUUUAAACCCAUGCUUUUUACUUCAGAAACCAACUGGGUCAGAUUCCCAUUUACUUAACCCCCAAAUGAAUGAGUUGUUCUUUUGAACAUGGGUCGAAAUUGAACCCAAAUCCAAAACAACAAUGGACCCAACUAGAUUCUGAUUUUACCAACAGCAGAAAACAUUUGAAAACUAAGUUUUAACUACAUGACUAAUUAAUUACAUAACCAAGAAAAGAGUGAAUUAGGGUAUUAAAAUGAGUCGACCAAAUUAAAUUCACAUAUGAGACUACCUUGCUCGAAUCAGUAUACUUCAAUAAAGAUGAGAAGAGAAUAUGAGAAGUAGGACAUGAAUCAAAAAUGGACAAAAGAAAAAGAUCAAGGAAAGCUUACCGACUAAAACUCGACGCUAAUGCUGGACUUCCUGAUUUAACACAAUCAAUGUUAGUCGCUUGUUCUUUGUUAAUAACAAAUGACCAACACCACUUAUGCCGAAUUAGACAUGAAAAAUCUUGAGACUUCUAACACCUGUGGUCAUGCAAGACACAAAAUAAUAGGCAAAGCGAUUUGGCUUCCUAGGGCUUCGAACUUUGAUUCGAGAUUCGAAGGGAUUGAGAGAGAUUUGAGGGAGCUGUGUUGAGAUUCAUAGAGAGAAGGGUGAGGUGGUUCAGGCUCAAUAUUUAUAUGUACAAACCGUGGCCUCAGGCUCAAUAAUUAUGUGUACAAAUCGUGGCCUCGGGCCUAAGUAUACGUAUACAUAACUGCGAUUUCAGACCCAAAAAUGAUUAAAGCAUAAACUAUAACAUCAGGCCCAAAGAUGCAUAAAGCAUAAACUGCACCGUCAGACCCAAAAAUGCAUAAAGCAUAAAUUGCGGCCUCAAGCUCAAAUAAAUAUGUUCAACAAUCAAGAAUUUAAAACGAAGAAAUGAGAAUCAUACUACAAUACAUGAUAUUGAAAUACUAAAUCAUAUUGAGUUACGUGAUACUAGAAUGUUACAUAGAACAAGACAGGACCAUGUAUUCACAAUAAAAUAAUUUGUCACAACUGAGGCUUAUAAUAUGUUGAAUGAAUUCUGAACUAUGUCAUCUAGAGAAUAGAAGUUCUACAAACUUUCAUGGAACUGAGGCAUAAUAACUUGCCGAGGGAUUCGCAAUAGUCAUAAAGAAUGAGACAUAAGGAGAAUCAUAAAUAUUCUCCACGUAGAUAGUUAGCCACACAUACCUUAACUUCCUGCACUUAUGUGUAAGACAAGAUUUGUCAGCCCUUUCAACUUUAAUCUAUAGCAAUAAAAGUCAAAGGGAUUCCAUAUUAGCAAUAAUACUCAAGUUUUGGUCACUUAGACAUUCUACCAAACACUUGAUGGGUAUAAAUAUUCAUAGUCCUUAUUAAUGGAGUUUCUAUACCCAAUAAUCCAUUCUCUUGCUCCUAGAUAAAUUCUAAAAUCUCAAAUAGUUAUAAUCAAUAUCCUUCUUCAUCACCCAUAAGAUAAAUAACACCCUUUAACUAAUAAUCAACAAUUAACAACUCAAACCUAUAAUCGUUCAUGCUUUUCUGUCCAAAUAACCCAUAUCCCAUGAACUAUAGUCUAUAGUCAUUAAUCCAAUACUAUAAUUAAGUAGAGAGUGAAGAUAUCAUCUUUUUGAUGUUCAAUCCUCUUGAAUGCGAGUACUAUAGGUUGUUUUCUCAACAAUGGUGUCCCAAAUGAUUUGAAGGAUUCACCCAUGUUAAUAAGGUGUUGAAGAAUUAUAAUUAAGUUUGUUAUACCCUGUAUUUUCCACCCUCGGGAGUCGUGAUAGCGCCUACUCGUGAAAUCCAGGCAAGCCGAGUAUUAUAAAUUCAUUACAAUUUUUAUUACGCAUGUUCAAAAUUUCAAUAUAAUAGCAAUUAAAAAGUGGAAUAAAUUAAAUAACUAGAAAUGCAAAAUACGUAAACUUAAUAGUUUAACCAAAUGUUUGCUACAUAAUCUGAAGUACAAUACUACCUAAAAUUUAAUUUCACAAGUCACGUACCCUCUACGAAUACUACAAAUAAUGUCUGAAUAGAAAUACAUGAUUCUAUCUUUAAAUAAGAAAAAAUAGAAGGAAAUGAUAGAAGGAGACGCCAAGGCCCGCGGACGUCCGCAGGACUACCUCAGGUCAUAUGUUAGACUGAAUUCACAACCUCACUGCGGUCCAAAUGCUCCGAUAUCAGUAUCUACACACAGUGCAGAGUGUAGUAUUAGCACCACUAACCCCAUCUGCUGGUAAGUGCCUAGCCUAACCUCGGUGAAGUAAUGACGAGGCUAGAACUAGACUACCAAAUAAACUUGUGCAGUUAAAUCAUACACAGCAGAAAAUAAAAUCAGAUAUUCACAGUUAACGAUAGGAGGGGGAAAAUAUGCUGCUGGGAAUAUCAAUUAACAACCGAAUCUAAAAAGAGGAAUGUAAAGAAAUCAAGAUUCAAUUACUAACAAGGAUAAGGAAAACAACCACAGUAUUCACUUUCAUAUAUCUUGUUACAGGCGUGCAAUCCGCCCCCAUUUCAUGUAUCUCGUUGUAGGUGUGCAACUCACUCCUAUUUCAUAUAUCCCGUUGCAAGCGUACAAUUCGCUCCCAUUUCAUAUAUCUUGUUGCAGGCAUGCAACUCGCUCCCGCUUCAUAUAUCCCGUUUGAGGCGUGCAACCCGCUCCCAUUUCAAGUAUGUUGUUACAGGCGUGCAGCCCACUCCCAUUUCAUAUAUCCUAUUGCAGGCGUACAACCCGCUCCCAUUUCAUAUAUCACAUUGUAGGCGUGCAACCCGCUCCUAUUUCAUAUAUCACAUUGUAGGCGUGCAACCCGCUCCUAUUUCAUAUAUCUCGUUGCAAGCGUGCAACCCGCUCCUAUUUCAUAUAUCCCGUUGCAGGCGUGCAACCGGCUCCCAUUUUCAAUUCAACAUCAAUCAUAAAAGAAUCCUGGAAAGGGAACAAGAAUAUAACAACAACAUCUCGGCAAGGGAGAUAAGGCCAUAAACAACAAAAUGCACUUUCAGUUUUGCGAGGGCCAUGAAUAACAUCUCAGCAAGGAAACAAUAUCAUAAACAAUGACAUCCCGGCAAGAGAACCAACAAUGGUAGUCAACCUAUUAGGUAUGAAAAAAUCACAAUGGAGUCACAACAAUUACAAUACGAGACUCACGGGCAUGCUUGCCACCGACGUAUAGAUACCUGUCACCAUGCAUAUAUGUCGUACUCCACAAUUAAUACAUAGAAAAUAAGACACAACGCUUAUCCCUUAAGCUAAGGUUAGACCAAACACUUACCUUGAUGCCACAAACUCAAUUCAAGCCUCAACUCUCUUGAUUCCACCACCAAUUCGUUCGUAUCUAGUUACAAGUUACUUAACGAUAUCAAUAAAUGCUAAAUGAAUCAAUUCUAAUGCAUGAAAAUAGAUUUUCUAAAGUUUUUUUUAAAAAAUCAAUAAUCAAACCCGGGCCCACAUGGUCAAAACCGAGGUUCAAACAGAAAUCUGAUUACCCAUUCACCCACAAACCCAAAUAUAUAAUUUUUUUAAAAUCGGACCUCAAAUCGAAGUCCAAAUCCCCAAAAUUUGAUAAACCUAGGUUUUACCCAAAUCACCCAAUUUCCCCCAUGAAAAUCUUUGAUUUUGAGUUGAAAUCAUGAGAAACGAUGUCAAAGAUUAAUGAAAACGAGUUAGAAAUGACUUACAAUCGAUUUGGAAGAGUACUUGUCUUUGANNNNNNNNNNNNNNNNNNNNNNNNNNNNNNNNNNNNNNNNNNNNNNUGACUUCCAAUCGAUUUGGAAGAGUACUUGUCUUUGAAAAAUCGCCCAAAGGUGUUUAGGUUUUGAAAGGGUUUGAAAAAUAAAAACAUUUCGGCUAAGUUAUGAAUUUGUAGGUCGCAAAUGUUGCAAUUGCAGCCAGGGUUCACAAUUGCAAACCUCUUCAGGACCUGUUAUCAUCGCAUUUGCGCUCAAUGUUCGCACUUGUGAACUCACAUUUGAGAUGGGACAGUUGCAUUUGCGAUGACUGGGGAUUCUUCGAUUUUCCGCAUUUAUGACCAAAUGAUCGCAUUUGCAAUCAGAACCGCCCAGGCCCUCUCUUGCAUUUGUGAUGCUUUAUAAGAAUUUGCGAUCUCGCAUUUUUGAGCUAGGCUUCAUAAAUGCGAAUCCUGCAGUCCUGCAACAUACCAACAAUUGUUAAGUGCAAAUUUCACUCUAUGGCCUAUCCAAAACUCACCCGAGCCCUCGUCUCCAAACCAAACAUGCACACCAACCUAAAAACAUCAUACAAACUUGCUCGUGUAAUCAAAUCAUCAAAAUAACAUCAGCCACUAUGAAUUAAACCCCAAAUUCAUGAAAUCAUUCAAGAACACCAAAAUUUGAAUUUAUCAACUUUAAGUCCGUUUUAUACUAAACCAUUCCCGAUCUUUUUCAAAUUUUACAAAUUCAACCAAAUUACUAUUUCACACUUGUACAGGGUUCCAGAUCCAAAAUAGGGCCUAAUACCAUCAAAUUCAAACAUAUUUCAUUUCCAAAAACUCAUACAUAUUCAAGAAAAUAAUUUUCUUUAAAAAUUCAUUUCUCGGACUUGGGACCUCGGGAUUCGAUUCCGGGCAUACACACAAGUUCUAUAUUUUUCUACGGUCCCGGAGGGUCUAGAUCCUAUUACCCAAAAUGUUGACCGAAGUCAACUAAAAUUCAUUAUAGAAUCAAAAUUUACCAUUUUCCACAGAUUUUCACAUAAUGGAUUUUCGGAUAUAAACUCGGAUUGUGUACGCGAAUCGAGGGUGAGACAAAAUAGAGGUUUUAAGGCCUCGAGAUACAGAAUUUAUAAUAAAAUAAGUGAUGACCUUUUGGGUCUUCAUAAACUUAUAAUCACCAUUAGAAUUCGCUUUGGGUGGUGGAGGGACCUUGGGAGUGGUUAGGUUUUUGAGAGCUUUCCUUUGUAGAGCAAGUUUUUAUGUUUUGGGUCUGGGGAACGAAGUAGAGCUUUUAAAAAAUGACCACCCACCCGAGUGCUCCCCCUACACUUGAAGCCCCAACAGCGCACCUGAAUGCGCAACGGGGCAGUAGCACUGCCACAAGUGCGCAUCGCGCACGAGACCACCGGGCGCGCUCCUGGACAUGCAUACCGUGAAUUGUUCUAUAAAAUGCACAUACCUUUUUUCAAAAAGAUUCAUUCGGGAUCCAUAAUAUGUCAUUGGAAAUCUAUUACAAAAGGCUACAACUUUCGUCUUUUGAGGUUUCCUAAAUUACUGAUCAUUUUCAUUAAAUCCUUAUGGAAGAUAGAUAUUUUGUAAACUUAAUCGAUUUUAUCGAGUCUUAUACACCUCACUCUUCGUAUUAAUUCUAAAACAACUAUUUUCACCCAUACUCAUACCGAUAGAAUUUCACAUGUCUAAAAUAUAAUACUACUACUCAUUUAACGCGUUCAUAGCUAAGCCGAAUUUACGGGGCAUUACACUAGCAACUAUGGUCUAUAUAAAUGCUUAGAACCCAUCAUAUGCACUCUUCAUACCUUUCCUCAAUUUUUAAGCUCAUGCCAAGAUCAUUUAAAAUAUUCAUGCGACUCUCUCUAACAUCCUCGACUCAAACUUGAUUCUAAUACAUUCCACACCAUGACUCGUUCCUUGUGCCAACUCAAAAAUCAAGGUCUCUAUCAAUCCUUGCAAAUCAUGUGCCUUAUCCAACAAAUCACAAUAAAGUAGUCCACACACUCAAUAUAAGUUCAAGUAUAUUUUGAGGACUCAAAUAUUGAAUGAAUUUUCUCACUCUCACAAUAACUCUAAUGCCACCAAAGUUUGUACCAUAGGCUUGCCCAUAGUGUAAGUCUUUACUAAUUUAAGCUUGCAAAGUCUAGGAUCAAGUAUGACUUUAUAGUUCUAAUAUAGGCUAAGGGACGGGUGAUAUAUUUGAGAAAAAAGUGACUAACCCUCAUAAGUACUUUAAUACAACGGAAAAGGGUCAAAACUACCCCUAGACAAUUGGAGUUGGUACAAUAAUGCCCUCCGUCCANNNNNNNNNNNNNNNNNNNNNNNNNNNNNNNNNNNNNNNNNNNNNNNNNNNNNNNNNNNNNNNNNNNNNNNUACAAUAAUGCCCUCCGUCCACCUAUUUUGAAAAAAUUGCCCUCACCGUUAUCUUUUUGGCUCAAGAAUGCCCUUACGACUAACGGCCAUGUUAGAUAAUAAAUAAUUAAUUACCAUGUGCCAUAACGAAAAAAUGGUCAAAACUGCGCCUAGACUAUUGGAGUUGGUACAAUAAUACCCCCAUCUCAAAAGAUCUCUCCCUUCCCCCUCCCCCCCUGACGUGUGUGUUCAUAUUCCUCUUGUUUUUCUCAUCCUUUUUUGACCUUGCACUUUAUUUUAAUAAUCACUACAAAUAUCAUUAAAGUUUUAUUUUCAGACAACCAAAAUAUUUUGUCACCAAUACUUUACGUCAUACAACUUUCAAAAACCCUUUUAAGCAAAAAAAAAUUAAUUAAUUCCAUGUGUCAUCGUCGCAUUGGUGUAACUUAAGACUCACCUAAUUAAAAUAAACCCACCCAUAUUCUAAGACCAUUUUCCUUCGUUACUUUCUAAAAAAACAUAAUUAAUUUCCAUGUAUCAUCAUCCCAUUGGCGUAACUUAUGAUUCACCUAACUAAAAUAAACUCACCCACAUUCUAAGACCGUCUUCCUCCGUUACUUUCUCCUCUUUCUUUUAAAAAUUAUUCCACCAACUAGAACUCUCGUACACNNNNNNNNNNNNNNNNNNNNNNNNNNNNNNNNNNNNNNNNNNNNNNNNNNNNNNNNNNNNNNNNNNNNNNNNNNNNNNNNNNNNNNNNNNNNNNNNNNNNNNNNNNNNNNNNNNNNNNNNNNNNNNNNNNNNNNNNNNNNNNNNNNNAAUGUACACAUCGAUAUUCCUAUUUUUUUCAUCACAGAAAUACCAUUCAUCAUCAAUUUUUCUUACUACACUUUACUGCUUCAUACAAUACGCUCAACCAAGUGUUUAUUACAGUCAUAUUCACGAAUAAGUCCUAUUCUCUCAUAUUCUCAGGCAUAUAAUCUCAAAUAUUUCUCUUGAUUUAAUUGUCUUUUUUUACAUUCACCAAUAAGUUGUAUUCUCUCAUAUUCUCAGGCAUAUAAUCUCAAAUAUUUCUCUUAAUUUAAUUGUCUUUUCUUUUUAAAAAAAUUGGCGGUAUUGGUAUAACCUGAAGAGCAUCCUCGUACAAUAGCUUAAUUUACGAGGAUGCUAUGUUUGAAUAAUCACUACAAAUAUCAUUUAAGUUUUAUUUUCAGACAACCAAUCAAUGGGACGAUAGUACAUAGAAAUUAAUUACGUUUUUUUUUGCUUAACAUGGUUUUUGAAAGUUGUAUGACGUAAAGUAUUGGUGAAAUUUUUUUUUGGUUUUCUGAAAAUAAAACAUUAAUGAUAUUUGUAGUGAUUAUUCAAAUAGAGUGCAAGGUCAAAAAANNNNNNNNNNNNNNNNNNNNNNNNNNNNNNNNNNNNNNNNNNNNNNNNNNNNNNNNNNNNNNNNNNNNNNNNNNNNNNNNNNNNNNNNNNNNNNNNNNNNNNNNNNNNNNNNNNNNNNNNNNNNNNNNNNNNNNNNNNNNNNNNNNNNNNNNNNNNNNNNNNNNNNNNNNNNNNNNNNNNNNNNNNNNNNNNNNNNNNNNNNNNNNNNNNNNNNNNNNNNNNNNNNNNNNNNNNNNNNNNNNNNNNNNNNNNNNNNNNNNNNNNNNNNNNNNNNNNNNNNNNNNNNNNNNNNNNNNNNNNNNNNNNNNNNNNNNNNNNNNNNNNNNNNNNNNNNNNNNNNNNNNNNNNNNNNNNNNNNNNNNNNNNNNNNNNNNNNNNNNNNNNNNNNNNNNNNNNNNNNNNNNNNNNNNNNNNNNNNNNNNNNNNNNNNNNNNNNNNNNNNNNNNNNNNNNNNNNNNNNNNNNNNNNNNNNNNNNNNNNNNNNNNNNNNNNNNNNNNNNNNNNNNNNNNNNNNNNNNNNNNNNNNNNNNNNNNNNNNNNNNNNNNNNNNNNNNNNNNNNNNNNNNNNNNNNNNNNNNNNNNNNNNNNNNNNNNNNNNNNNNNNNNNNNNNNNNNNNNNNNNNNNNNNNNNNNNNNNNNNNNNNNNNNNNNNNNNNNNNNNNNNNNNNNNNNNNNNNNNNNNNNNNNNNNNNNNNNNNNNNNNNNNNNNNNNNNNNNNNNNNNNNNNNNNNNNNNNNNNNNNNNNNNNNNNNNNNNNNNNNNNNNNNNNNNNNNNNNNNNNNNNNNGUUAUGGCACAUGGAAAUUAAUUAAUUUUUUUUAUCUAACAUGGCCUUUAGUCGUAAGGGCAUUCUUGAGCCAAAAAGAUAACGGUGAGGGUAAAUUGUUUCAAAAUAGGUGGACGGAGGGCAUUAUUGUACCAACUCCAAUUGACUAGGGGUAGUUUUGACCCUUUUCCGUUAAUAUAAUACACUUUACUUUUAAGCACCUUCUUGUCAUGACCAAUACGAUGUCUUUCCAUGAAACUAUGCAUAUUUAAGCCCUUCUUCAUUAAGCAUAUCAACAUAUAGAUACUUACUAGCCUAAAAAAUAUAUGAGACGUGUUAUUCUUUUUUCUUCACUCUCCUUAAUUUGGUUUUUUCGGUUAGUACUUUUUUUUGUCUAUACGCAAGUGCACCUUCUCGACCUUUCUAUGGUUCCAAUAAAAAGCUACACACUCUCUUUCUUUACUAUGCUAACUACUUAAGUGUUUUCGGAUGUAAAAGUUCAACAAGAUUUGAUUAAGAACAAAGGGUAUUUGGAUUAUAAUGUGGUUGCCAAAGAAAGGUAUACAUGCUCAAAAGGGGUGACUACAGAUGAUAUUAGUAUUGGUAGGCAAAUGGGCUAAAUGGUCAAUCAAAAAAAGUCUAUAUCACUUUCCAAACUUACAAGACUUAGUCAUCUCGCUUUGACGCACACACAUGGAAAGUUCUAUACUAGAAAAGAUGGUACAAAGUACACUAAUAUCUCACCUCACACAAUGCACAUGACUCACUUAGGACGGCUCGGACCUGACACUCUAGUUAAAGCAACCAGCACAGUCAUCAUAUAGUUUCACCACACAAAAAUUAAUCACAAGAGUCUAGAGAUGAGCCUUGGUAUCAAAAGAAAGCCACACAUAUUUUUAAGGCAUGUAAUUACAACGAUCACGAAGAAAGUACUUAGUUCAAAUACUCCAGACUUCUAAGCCCCGAUAUAAAAUAUGUCAAACAUCAUAGAUACGCAAGUUCUCCCCAUUUCAUUAUCAGUUAAAAAAGAAUAUUUGUUUUGUAUUUUUCUCUGGACUUUAAACCCUCAAGAAAACUAGCUAGGGAGUCCAUCGUAGGAAAAAGUCCAAAACUAUAUAAGAAUUCUACCUACAAAAAAAAAUUACUACUAUCCGAUUCAAAGAGUCAUCCCUUGGAAAAGAACCGUGGCCAUAAGAAAACUAAAGAGGGAAUAUUUUUGCCUAAUUUUUUUUAUUUUUUCCAACACAAUAAAAUAAUACAACUAAAAUAAUAUAGAAAAUUACCCAAAUAGUCUCUUCACCCCCACACUUAAAAUAAUGCAUUAUCUUCAAUGCACACCCAUAAAUAUAAGUAGGGAAAAAGAAACUUCCUGUUAGGAGCCGAAAUAUUAGCAAUUCAUGGGGUGCUCAGACUUCUCCCAGACUUGGUUCUUUGUGCGGACACCCCACACUUAAUUCUAACCAUAUCACUUGCUUUUGAUUUCUUACAAUAGCCUUGCUUCACAUGCUCGUGGAGAAAUAAAAAACAACACUACAAGAAUAAUACAACAAAAAAAUAAAAAAAUACAAAAUUCAAAAUAAAAAUAAAAAAUUAAAAUAAAAGAAAGCAGUAAAAGUGGAUUGCCUCCCAACAAGCGCUUAAUUUAACAUCGCGGCACGACGUGAAUCACUUUUUGCCUCCACUUCGAGCUUAUGAAUUGAUCCCUAGUUUUGCUUCAAAUUUAUCCUGGGGAGGUAUAAAUUCUUACGAGCCAAAAAUUCACUUUUUGGAUCUCCACCAAGGAGUAUCACCUUUCUUAGACGGUCUUGAAAAUUUCAAAAUAUAAGGCUCGUCUACCUCUUCCCUGGACUCCUUUUUAUGUACGUAAGAAUCCAUUCUCAUUUCACUAUCUGAACAUAAUAUUGAAAAGUAUUUGGAAUGAGGUCCAACAUGCUCAAAUACAUGAACUAUAAGAUUUUCGACAUCCUCAACAACAAUCACACUAGAGUCAACUAAAUUUAUAUCCUCAAUGUCCCUGGUUGACUCUAAUAUUACUUUUUCCACAUCGACACCCUCAAAUUCUAGUUGGUUAGAUUGUUGGUAUUCUACUCUAACCUCCUCCAUUAGAACCUCAGUUUUGGUAUUUAAUUCAUGCCCUUCUUGGAUACUAUCCACAAUAUUGGCUUGUUGAGCAUUAAAUGCUUUAACUAGUUGACUGACUUGUGCCUCCAAGUUGCGAAUAGUAUCAUUUUGCCUUUGUAUGUGGAGUUGUUUCUCAUUAUUUUAUUCCACAGGGCACGUUAGUGUAUCUUUGAUCUCUUUCAGGUUAUUAUCUUUGGGUUCUUUGUUCCUAUUAACUUCACAAGAAAAAGAAAAAUCAUCAAAGUAAGGGGUUAGGGGAAGAAAAAAUUAUAAGCGCAACCAUAUAUCUCACACAUACCCCACACAUAAGAUUGAGUUGGUGCACAUAACUCACUCUCGGGAAUCUUAUGACAAUAUUGUCAUUGGUGAUUUCUUCCACAAUAAGCACAGGGAAGAUCAACAGUAGAAUUACCAACAUCAAAACUAUCAUAAUUCCAAGAUGUCAUGUUUCUCAAUUCAACAAGUAAAACUAAAAAUAAAAAAAUCAAAUACUAAAAAAAAGUUCAAACUUGAAACCUAAAAAUAUGGACACCUACAGCUACAUUGUUAGUUUCCCGGCAACAGCGCCAAAAUUUGAUCACGCCCAACUCUAGUCCUAAAAAAGAUACGUUGUCGCUGCAAAUAUAAUCCGGUCUAAAAGUCUAGAGUCGAAUCCCACGAAGAACUAAGGCUUAGCUAUAACUAUUCAGUAUUGCGAAAAAAUACAAGUCCAAACAAUUUUCUAAUUAUAAAGUUUAUUUCUAACUAAUUAACUAACAGAUACUAAAAACAAUAAAAUUAUCAACUAAUGAGGAUACAGUUAGAGGCAAGCCAAAAAAGGGCCUAGAGUUAUAAUUUUUUCAAUUUUCGGAAUCAUUCCCGCUAUUCCUCUUAUAAUUUUGCCUAUGUAUUCUCUACUGAUGGCUAUUACUUCAGGUGUCGUAAUUCUCUUCCGAGCAACUAUCACAAUUUACUAGAUAUAUUCUUUAGAACUAUGCUAGCUAGAACUACUUCACCGCUCACUACAUCGCACCAAAGUUUCGUUAUUCCUAAUCACACCUUUAAACCCUUCGUAUUGAUUCUUCACAUACGUUUUGAGUGAUGUUGUUCAAUAACUACCUAAAUAUAUACCCUUUUCCAAGCAGUACAUAAUAAAUAGGCAUAGUAAAUCAAGAGCUUUACAAUCAACUAAAAUAAGCACGUACUUAAACAAGUAGAGAAAUUCAAAGGCUCAAUUAUAUAAAAAUGUAAUAAGAAUUCAUCCUCCAAAAGAUUCCAUCAAAACCCAAGAUAAGAAAUUAUCAAUUCAUGCUAGUAUGUAAAAAUAACACUAGAAUUCAUAACAAUGGGAAAAUAGGAAGAAAGAGGAAAAAAUAUGAAGUUGAAUCCUUCUUCUUGCUCCAAGUGUGUUCUUGACUCCCUAAAGUCUUCUCUCUCUCCAAAGUAGUUUCUUCCCAUUCAAAAUCAUGUUUUAGGAUAUAUAGCGACAAGGGUUUAUUUGGGGAAGAUUUCCUUCUCCUAUUUCGGAUUGGAAAAGCUAAUUUUUUCUGCUCAGGUCCAGGUCUGGCGAGUGAAUCUCACUUCGCUCUCCGGGACUUUCCUGAUUUCUUCUACUCUGGUCCUGAUCUGGCGAAAUGAACCUCUCUUUGCUAUCCAGGGCUUUUCUCUUCAGUUUUUUUUUUAAAACCAAUUUUUCUCCCGUUUGAUCUUUUUUUGUGAAGUUUGUUACUACACAUAAGAAACACAUAAUGAACAUAUUUUCACUUUAAAAGCAAUGUGAACUCCUAUAUUCACACAAAAAAUAACAUACAAACACACUCAAAACAUGCACUUUUCAUCCUUUAUCAAGGCCGUAAGUAAGAAUAUCAAUAGUAAAUUUUCAAUAAAAACUAUAAAGGUAGAGUAAUUGAACCGCUCUUCAAGAAUUUGAUAUGUUGAUAUAUAACAAGAACAACAUACUAAGUGAAAACUUACAAAAUGGGUCUGGGAGGUAGAGUGUACACGUGCCUUAAUUCUACCUUGGGAGAUAGAGAAGUUGUUUCUGAAAGACCCUCGGCUCAAGAGAAAGCAUGGAAAAAAAGGGUCAGUUAAAGACAAUCAAUUCAAUGCGGUAUGAAAAUGAAAGUAACGAAAGCGAAUAAAUCAUGAUAAAAUAAUCUAAAAAGGAGUAGUAAAUAUCACAGAUAAAUAAGUUAAUCGAAGUACAAGAAACAAUAGAUAGUAACAAAAAUCAAAGGGUAAAAAACUAUGGAGCAAAAUAAGUUGAUAUAAUAAUAUCGAAAAGUAUUGCAUUGAUUCAAUAUAAUGAUUGUUUGAUGUAGUGCUUUCAGAAGACAAUUUGUAAGCCGGGAUAAGUUGUUGGUUGAGAGACUUUUUAAUAUUGAGAAUAGAAAAAGUGAAAAAAGUAAAUCUAUAAAUAAUAUGUGGUCCAAUAUUAGUUGUUAGGAUAUAAAUGAGGCAAAAAAAUUACUACCCUAACCAUAUAAGGAAAAAAUUUAUUAAAACUUAUUUCAUUCUCUGAUAAUUAUAAGGAUCCUCACAUUAAAGUUGUUAUACUUUCGCUCCAAAAACUCUUUUUAUAUUUGAAUGUAACACAUUUUUCAAAUAAUACAUAUAAAAUACAUGUUUAAAGGAAAAAUGGGGCCCCAAAAAAGUUAGGUCCCCAAGCGAUUGCUUUAUUGGCCUUUUGUCGAGCCACCAUGAAUAUUAUAAGGAAUUUUUACUUCCUAUAGCAAGUUUGAUGCCUUAUUUAUCUUAAAUAAAUAUUAUUUUAAAAAAUUAUACUCCAUAGCUACCUUUUGAUUUUUAUAGCCAAAUAUCUAUUUAUGGUCACAUCCUAUCUUUAAGCCAUAAAAUACAAUUUAUUUUUCUCGCUCACUCUUUUAAAUUUUUUUCCACCCUCUCUCUCUCAACGUCAGUCUUUCUCUAUGAAUACAACCACGAUUCUCCACUGAUUCAUCUUCAUUGUCUCGCGAAAUUUUUAUUGAUCAAUGGGCUAGGUCUCUAUAUCAAUGUAAAUGUUAAAAUCAAGCUCUAGAGAGAAAGAUGGAGGUUCGAAAUCUGCCAUUGAAAGUUGAAUUUGGAAAAGUUUUAGAGGAAUUGUAUAUUUGAAAAAUGAAUUGGAUGUAUUUGCUAAUGAAAUUAUAGUGAAAUUUUGGGGGAAUUUCUUUCGUUUUUGUGCCAAACUUUGAGAGUUUUGAGUCAGAAUCGCGGCCCUAUUUACGAGACGAUAUUAGGAUUGUUCUUGAACAAAGACGAUAGAGUUUGAGACUGAGUAACUUGAAGAGUCUUUUACCUUUUUUUCAUUGUAUUUCAAUAUAUCUCACUCUAUUCUAUGUAUUUCAUUGUAUUCAUUGACUUUUAUUUUCAUCGUAUUCCAAUAUAUCUCACUGUAUUCAUUGUAUUUCAUUGUAUUUACUGUCUCUCUAUAUUCCGUGAACGUAUUCAAAUAUUUUUUUAAUUAAUAUAAUUUAUGCAUUCAGAUGUAUAUAUGAAUUCAAAUGUAUCAGCAAUAUGUAUUCAGUGGCGGACGUACAUGGUUAUCUGUGGGUUCUCAAGCACCCAUUAUUUUUGGCCAAAUUUAGUAAAUUUAUAUAGACAAUUAUAAAAAUAUUUGGAUAAUUAUUGAGUGAGCACCCAUAACUAAAUUUCUUUUUCUUUUCUUUUGAAAAUUUUGUCGGCAAAGCACCCAUGACUUUAAAAUCCUGUCCGCCACUGUAUGUAUUCAUAUGUUUUUGCAUUAUAGAUGGCCUGCUAUACUUCAUGUAUUCAAUGUAUUUUUAUGUAUAUAAAUGUAUUCAAUGUAAUUAUAUAAUUUUAAUAUAUAAAUAUAUUUGUAAAGACCACUAAAAAGAAAUGAUGGAUUGAAUCUCCAAAAAGUGCUUUGUUUUUUUGGGUGUUUUUCGGUUGAGAAUCUCUUCUAUAACUGAAAAUACAAAAUUUUAUGUGUUAUAAUUGAGUUUGUUGAGUUAUAUUAGGAGUCUAUAACGUUAAUUGAUUCAUUUACCAUUUUUCAACAGCUGAAGACCUUUUAUUCGCAAAUUCCGUUGCCGUAUUCACGAAUGCAGCUCGCGGAUACAGCCGAAUACAUUCUCUGCUUAGCUGGACUCCCCAGUUUUCCACCGAGUUUGUCUACUAUAUUCAUGAUAUAGUUUAUAACAACUAAAAACAUAACUAUAAGAAGUAAUUUAGAAAAUGAUAACUAUAAUAAUUAUUAAAAUAUAAUGGUUUCUAAAAAUUUCUCAUAUUACAUCCAUGAAGAAUCUAUAAUAAUCUGGGAGGUUCUGAGAAAAUGGAGUUCCUUCAUUUGGCUGAAUCGAAUAACGUAGCUUAUGAGAGAUUUAAGUAAUUUUAUUUAGUCUUUUCAAUGUAACAAGAAAUUAUAUAUACAAUUUUCUUAACGUGUACUUGAACAUACAAGUGAAAACGAAACAAUGAUUUUUAAGUGAUGUACUACUAAAUUUUAGCCGAGAGAAGAAUUCUAUUUUUAGGAAUCAUAACAAUAAAUCCACUUCAGAAACAAACUUUUCAAAUAUCAAUAGUUAAAACCCAGGUUUUGAGCAUAAAAUUUUUGUCAAUUAAGGCACUUAUUCUUGAACACAGCAACGUAUAAGCACAACUCUUGAUCAACGUAACUAACCAAAUUUAAUAGGAAAAUUGUACUCACUUUAGAUAAAUUCAGGAUUUUGGCAGGAUAGGUGCACUAUUAAAAAAAAGUGUAUCCAGAAUAUAAAUUUUACGAGUUUAACCUUUAAUUCUUACUAUUAUACACUCAUUACAUUUUUGAAAUAUAACUUCGAAAAUUAAGUUUUUCUUUAAAAAGAGUAAUUUUCUUAUAUCUAUGUCUAUUUCCACGUUAAAAAUAUUGGGAUCGAUUGACUCCAUUGACUAUAUGCUACAUCAUAUCUUAUUACUAGUAUUAAAAUAUAUAUUUUGUUUAAUCAUAUAAGAUUUUACAACGACAAAAGAAGAAUAGAAAUUUUAAUGUGCGAAAUUUUUGAAAGAAUAAACUAAAUAAUUAAAGAAAUAAAAAAAAGUAAUUAAUUACUAUCCAAAGAGUGACACUAAACACGCCCAUCCCCGUGGGCGUCUAGUUCUACAAAAAAAAGAGAGAAAAAAAAAAAAGAUUGACAUAAGAUUUGAACUCACAAUCUCACCUAGAGAGGUACACCUAAUAACGAUAACAUCAUAUAAUACUUUGAGCGUGGAUGUACAUACAUACAUUUAAAUAUUUUUAAAAUAAUAUAACAUACUAUACAUGAUUUAGGGAGGGGACAUGGGUUUACGUGUCCCAUAGAACCCAGAUAUGCCCCUGUCUUUGUCUCAUAUUUCCCAUCGUGGUUUCUAAAAAUAGUUAUCUAAAAUUAUUUGUCAUUUUAGAAGUUCAAGAGUAAAUUAAUUAUCUUUUUCAUAUUCUACCCUUAAUAUUAAUUGUUCUUGAAGACUACAAAUACCUUAAUUAUGAUUUAUGAGUAAGUAAUAAAUGAAGAGAAAUGUCACUACCCGGAUUUCUCACCCUCGGGAGUCGUGAUGACGCCUACUAAUGGGAGCUAGGCAAGCCAAACCUUAAUUAUUUUUUCAUUAAAUAUACUCCUUUUUAACAAUUAUCAGAAAUAGCAUGAAAUAAUGGAAAUAAAUAAACAAAUAAGCGGAAGUCUUUAUUUAAAGGAACUGGUUAAAAAUACGGAAAUCUAACAUAAUUCUGUACCCAAGACUAGUGCAACAAUACUCACGAAAAACUAAGAGUACUAAAUACAAUCGUCUAAAAGAAAAUAUAACUGUUCGUCCCGAAUACAAUGAGAUAACAAACUAAAAUAAAAGAUAGAGGAGACGUCGUGCCUGCGGACGCCUGCAAGGCUACCUUGGUGUCUCGAUGGAUUGAAGGCUGGCUCCCGAUCUAAUACUGCUGCUCAAAUGCUGCUCCAGCACCCGAAUCCGUGCAAAAGAGCACAGAGUGUAGCAUCAACACAACCGACCCAAUGUGCUAGUAAGUGUCUGGCCUAACCCCGGCGAGGUAGUGACUAGGCUAGGACCAGACUCCAGAUAAAUCUGUGCAGUUAUAUAAUGUAUGGCGAAAGAAAUAGCAGGUAAUAAACAAGUAACACUGUGAGGGAAAACAUGCUCUAGGGAUAGCAAAAUAAACAGAAUCCUCAUGAACUGACAAUGAGAGCAACCAUUUAGCUACUAACACGGAUAAGAAUAGAUAAAACAACUUUCACUUUCAAUAUUCAUCUCGUUGCAGGCGUGCAAUCCGAUCCCAUUUCUCAUUAUCUCGUGGUAGACGUACCACCCGCUCCCAUUUCAUUGUCUUGUGGUAGGCGUACCACCCGCUCCCAUUUUAAUAUCUUAUGGUAGGGGUACCACCCGCUUCCAUUUCAAUAUCUUGCGGUAGGCAUAUCAUAUGCUCCCAUUUCUUCCAACACAGUACACUAUAUAAUCCCGACAAGGGAACAAAAUAAUGUGAUAACUUACCGGCAAGGGAAACAAUAACAACAAAUCAAAUGUCCCGGCAAGGGAGAGUCAGCUAUAGUCAAUCCUAUUCAACUUCUUCUUGGCACCAUUAAUACCAUUACUCAAUCAUAACUAAGUCCACGAGAAUAAACUAAGUCCUACUCAAUAUCAAGGAUUAUCAAUCACAAUUCUCAUAGAAUCAAUACACACCUAUCAAUUUAAGACCCACGUUUAUGCUCGACACCAACGUCUGGAUACUCGUCACCAUGCCCAUACAUCAUACUCAACACAUAACAAGUAGAAAAUACGAAUCAACUCCUAUUCUCUCAAGCUAAAGUCAGACGAAACACUUACCUCAAUGCCUUGAAUACAACUCAAGCCUCAAUUAUAGCUUUACCCCUCGGUUCCACCAUAAAUUCGCCCAAAUCUAGUCACAUGUUACUUAAUUACAUCGAUAAACGUUAAAUGAAUCAAUUUGAAUGCAUAAAAAUGAAUUUCCCAAUGUUUCGCCCAAAAAGUCCAAGAAUGCCCCCAGGCUCAUGUGGUCAAAACCCGAGGUUCGAACCAAAAUCUGGUUACCCAUUCCCCACGAACUCUAAUAUGUAAUUUGUUUUGAAAUUGGACCUCAAAUUGAGGUCCAAAUCCUCAAUUUUAGAUAAACCUAAGUUCUACCCAAAACCCCCAAUUUCACCCAUGAAAAUAUUUAAUUUUAAGUUGAAAACAUGUUAAGUGAUAAUGAAAUUUGCCCGAAUCUAGUCACAUGUUACUUAAUUACAUCAAUAAACGCCAAAUGAAUCAAUUUGAAUGCAUAAAAACAAGUUUUCCCCAAAAAGUUCAAAAAUACCCCCGCACUCACGUGGUCGAAACUCGAGGUUCGAACCAAAACCCAAUCACCCAUUUUCCCACGAAUCCAGAUAUGUAAUUUGUUUUGAAAUCAGACCUCAAAUUGAAGUCCAAAUCCCCAAUUUUUGAAAAAUCUAAGUUCAACCCAAAAUCCUCAUUUUUCCCAUGGAAAUCUUUGAUUUUAAGUUGAAAACAUGUUAAAUGAUGUUAAAUAUUAGAAGAAAUGAGUAAAACCCCACUUACAAAUGAUUUGGAAGAAAUCUCGUUCUUGGAAAAUCGCCUAAGCAUGUUUGGGUUGGAAAGAUAGUGAAAAUGGUUUAAAAUUCGGCUAAGUAUAGAAAAUGCAGAUUGCAGAUAUGGAAAAUGCGAACUGGGGUUUGCAAUUGCGAACCCCGACCCUGCUGGUGUGGGAAUUGCAAGAGAAUGGUUCACAUUUACGAACAUUGCCCAACUCCCAGACCUUCACAUUUGCGGAUCUUACAUCGCAUUUGCGAUCCCAGGCACUAUGGGAGCUUUUCGCAUUUGCGAGCAGCCCUUCGCAUUUGCGAGCUCUCUUUUGUGAGCCAGGCUUGGCAAAUGCGAAACCUGCAGGUCUGUUCAUACCAGCAACUUUCAAAGGUUCAAAGAUGCAGUCACGGCCUAUUCAAAACUCACCCGAGCCCUCGGGGCUCCAAACCAAACAUACACAUAACCUCAAAAAUAUCCUACGGACUUAUUCGUGCGAUCAAAUCACCAAAAUAAUAUCAUCUACAUCAAAUUAAGCCUCAAAAUCCAUGAUUUCUUCCAAAUUUCAUAAAACAACAAAUUUUCUAUUUCAAGUCCGAAACACGUCAAACGACGUCCAUUUUCAACCAAACUUUACAGAAAGUAUUUAACCCAUAUAUAAGACCUGUACCGGGUGCCGAAACUGAAAUACGGGCCUAAUACCAUCACUUUCUAAUCAGAUUUCAUAUCCAAUUUCCUUAAAUAUUUUCAGAAACCAAUUUUACUCAAAACUUCAUUUCUCGGGCAUGUGACCUCGGAAUUCAAUUCCGGGCAUACGUCCAAAUCCCAUAUUUUCCUACAGACCCUCCCGGACCGUCAAAUCACGGUUCUGGGUCCGUUUACCCGAAAUAUUGACCGAAGUCAAAUUUAUUCAUUUCAAAACUUAGCAAUUUUUCAUAACAUUUUAUAUUUAAGCUUUCGCGCUACGUGCCGGGACUGCGCACGUAAAUCGAGACGAUUCUAAAUGAUUUUUUAGGCUUCGAAAAUACAAAAUAAAUAAGAAAAUAGGUGAUAACUCUUUGGAUCGUCACAAAAAAUUAUAUCUUAAGACAUAAAUAAGAGUAAAAUAAUUAAAAAUAUUUUAUAUUUAAUAUUUUUUUAAGGGGCGGGUAAAAAAAUCAAACACGACAGACGGAAGGAGGACAAAGCUAAGGUGAGCUCUAUUUUCAUGAAUCUGCAUAAUUAUCCCAAUGACCCCACUCACUUUACCUUGUAAAUUUGCCACUAAAAUAUUGCUAAGUCCAAGUUCAAUGCUCCUAUAAUAGAGAGCAACCUCUUUGGGAUCCUCACUUAUAGAGAAAGCCAUUAGGUAUAUCAACAAACAGUUGUAAAUUUUUGAAAUGUAGUGAGUGAACUAUUUGUAUAGAGCCAGAUACAAAUAUCAGCAUAUCACAUUUUUUAAGUAGUGAAAUCUUCUUAUUAUUCUUCUUUGUACCCUAAAGUUGUAGCACAUGUUGUCUUAUAAUAUAUUAACAAUACCAUGUGAUCUUUUGCUAAUAUCUACCCAUAUGUUUUCCAAAUUCACUUACUCUUCUUUAUUCACAAUUUGAUGAAUUGAGUGUCUCUAUAUAUAACUCUACUUCUCAAAGCUACCAUUGCAAACACUUCAAAAUUUCCAAUUCACUUUCUUUUUUUCAUAAAUUCAAAACAGCUUCUUUAUUUCCGUAAAGUAAGGAUAAAAUCUGCGCGCAGUCAUACACACUACUCGAACCACACUUGUAAGAUUAUACUGAGUUUGUUAUUAUUAUUACUGUUUCUGAUUGCAAAGAUGGGAAGAAGUUUAAUUGGUAUAGUUCAUGCCAAAGACAAGCUUCGACUUCGAAAAUCGAUUUCACAUAGAAAUGGAAGUAUGUUAGCAGCAACUAAUCAAGUUCCAAAGGGGCAUUUUGCAGUGUACGUUGGUGAAACAUGUAGGAGAUUUGUUGUUCCAAUAGCAUAUUUGAACCAACCUUUAUUUCAAGAUUUGUUACAUUGGGCUAAAGAAGAGUUCGGAUAUAACCAUCCAAUGGGUGGUCUCACAAUUCCAUGCAGUGAAGAUUACUUCAUUAGUCUCACUUCCUUACUAAAGUCAUCAUAGGCAAAACAGCAAUUUUAUUUUUUACUUUUUUUAUGCUUUCUAUAUAUAUAUGGCUGAAAGAGAAAUGACUAAGUUAACUCUCUUCAAUUUUGAAAUAUUGGCUGGUGUCAAGUUUGUUUCCUAUAUAUAUCCGUUGUAAUUUGUACAUAAAAAUAUUCUUCUAAAUAUAUAACAAGAAAACACUUACUUCUUGGGGUUUUUUGUCAAAUUGCGACAGUUUUUGACCCCCACAAAAAGAAUUGUGGCGGUUUUUAGAAGUGCCAUAAUUACUUUUGCCAGAAACAUUUUGCGACGGGUUUUUAAAACCUCUACGACAACCGCCACAAAACAAAUUUUUGAUUUAUUGGGGUUCUCAAAGAUAAUUAAUGCUAGUUUAAAACCCCCGCAAUAUAAUUCAUGUGUGUCAAAAAAUAAUAUUGCGAGGGUUUAUAAAACCCCUCAAUAUAAUCAUAAUGGUUCAAAAAAAAUAUUGCGGGGGUUUAAAACCUCCCAAAAUAUGAAUUAAAUAUUUUUUUAAAAAGGUUAUGUGGGGAUUUUGAAAGAUAAUUAGUGCUUGUUUAUAAUCGCCCCCAUAUGAUUUCGAUGCGUCAAAAAAAAACAUACUGCGAGGGUUUAUAAACCCCCUCAAUAUGAUCAUAAUGGUUCAAAUAAGAUAUUUUGAGGGGUUUAUAAACCCUAUAAUAUGAUUUAAAUUUUUUUUAAAAAGUUAUGUGGUGGUUUAUAACCGCUACAAUAUAAUAUUAGUGUUUUAAAAAAAAUAGUGAACUUAUUUCUGCCACAAUAUUUUGUUAAAAACUCUUUUUCUAUUUGAAUUUUUUUUGUAGGGUUAAAAAAAUAAUUUUAUCAAAUAACUUAUAGCAUAAAUUAAGUUUCAUAAAAAAUAACCAUAGUGACAAACAUUAUAAAUUCAAAUCCUCAUGGAACUAAAUAAAUUUUUUAUCAUAAGCAAUGACAGGUGCUAUAGUCACCAACCAGCUAAGAUAUUAAAAAUGUAUUCAUCAAAAGAUUGAGCUUUACCAAUUUCACUCAAAUAUAAUGAAGUACUUUAUUCUAGCUAAGUCUCUGCAAACUCUGCCAAAGUAACACUGUCAUACAAUGGCUAAACUUUUUAUGGGAAAAUAACUAAUUCUUGGGUAAGGAUACAAAAAGAAAUUGAUAGGUUAUUAUGAAAACCUGAACUUGAUUGAGAACAGUGAGUUCUCAUUGUUCUUGUAAUAAUCAGCAAUGAAAUUCACCAUCUUGUGACUAUACUCUUUUUGUUGCUCUGCAUCCAUGGGCUUCAGUUCACCCUACCAAACAAGAAAAACCAAAUAAUAUACGCCUAAGGUUAUGCCAACUAGCUAAUGACUAAUUCAAAGUCAUUUAUUUCUUUGGAAGAACAAAUUUUGAAAUACUCUUGUACUAUGUGCAGAUUCCGGAGCAGCUUUUGAAUAGUAGCAUUUGGGUGGCUGGCUUUAGUCCAAUUAGAAAUCCCGAGGUAGUUCUGCAGGCUUCCGCAGGCCCGACAUUCUCUUCUAUAUUAUUAUGUAUUAUGUUUUCAUUUGACUUUGUGACAAAUUGUACUUCUUUCAGACAUUUAUUGUAGUCAUUAUAGACCUCCGUGAUAUUGUGAUACCAGAUUUCGAGUAGAGUCAUAUGUUGGCAUUGUCGUACUGUUUUUGAUUAUUAUAUCAGACUAAGUCUUCCGCUUGUUUUUUUUAUUAUUUACUGUUAAUAUUUCAAUAUUGAUUACCUGUUAAUUCAAUUUGUUAAAAAGGGCUAAAAUGAUAGAGUUAGUGAUUUCUUUAUUUUGCGGCUUGCCUAGCUUCUACGAGUAGGCGCCAUCAUGACUCCCGAGGGUGGAAAAUUCGAGUCGUGACAAGCUUGAAUCAUUCCUUGCUUUUGUUGGGACACACCUCAACUUUUGUGAUGACUCAUUUUGCUUUAUUCUUUUGCUACCCAAUGUCGUGGUCCAACGCUCGUCACAUUCUUUUUUUGCACCUAAAGGUUCACGAUACUUACGUGGUUAGAAAUGAUAUUUAGUAUUUAUGGGUCAUCAUUUCGUAUAAUCUAUAAAUAAAAAAAACUUAUGAGGAAGAAAUAAAAUAGAUGUCUAUUUAUUUUUUGCUAAAAAUAAAGAGACAGAAUCAUAGAAAUGUACAAAGACAAUAAAUGAAAAACUAGCGAGUAAGACAUAGAAAGAUCAUGGAAGACCUCAUAUCUUCUUUUGCAGUUAAAGAAAGUGAAGAGAAAAACUAGAAGGUAUAGGUAUUGAUGUAAAUUUCAUUAAUCGCAAUUGUUUUAACUAAAAUACAUAAUUUGAUUAAAUUUUAAAGAAAUAAGGUGGAAAAUAUAUCUAAAACUUUGCAUGAGUCAAAUUUAUUAGUUGAGAACAUUGUGAACGUGAAUAUCAUUAUAUUAUUUCUUCUAAAUUAGAUAAUCAAAAUUUGUAUCUAUUGUUAUUGGUUUUCAUGUCUUAAACUAUUAGGUUUGUAUUGUUUUGCUCAUUGAAAAUAAUUUCAUAUAUACAUGAAGGAGUAUUCUUUUAAAUUAUAGUGUUGAUGAACUUUCUUGAUUAAUUACUUUUAGGGAGGUAAAUUAUACCUUCAUAUAUUUUUAAAGAAAUUAUAAUUUUCUAAUUGUUUGAAAAUGAAGACAUUAUAGUUGUAUCUCACAGCAACUUUAACAUUAUUGCAUUAUUUAUAUUUGUAAAAAUAUACUAAAUAUACUUUAUUUUAUUUUUAAAUUUCUUAAACUUUAAUAGACUUUCGAUUUAUGCGUAAUUUUUAAAUUAAAAAAAUUAAUGAUAUAUGGGGCUUACGCAUCGUCCCAUAGUAAAAUGGCUUGCAUCACACGCCCGCCUUUGAAAAUACUAUUUGAACGUAGAACGCCUGCUAUGACAAAAGUAAAAGAAAAUUCGCAUGCUAAGUAUUGCAAUUACCUAUACCCCUUUAAAAUUUAAGUUAUCUCAAACAAAAAAAAAUUAAAUGUUUAUGUAGAUAAUUAAAAUACUUGGAUAUCUCUCCUGCAACUGUUGUCCAUCUCAUGUGUAGCCAUUACAUAUGAAUGUAAAUACUAUUUAUGGUUAACCUAAUGCAUAUUUUUUCGUUUAUAUUUGACCUCGUUGACCCUACAUUUUGUUCAGUGAGACUCGGUGAGUACCUGAUAUAUUUAAUUCUCUAUAUAUUUGUCUUCUUUGGAGACAAGUAUCGAAGUCGUGGUAUUUAUUUCACUCAAGAUUGGGUCUCUUUACCAGGUGUUCUACCCGUGGCUUCAGAAGAUAUUCACGUUUGGCAUAUGCCUGCUCUGACCGAGAUCUUUGGGGAUGAUUCCGUACUACGGUUCGGUGGAGGAACUUUAGGACAUCCUUGGGGUAAUGCGCCAGGUGCCGUAGCUAAUCGAGUAGCUCUAGAAGCAUGUGUAAAAGCUCGUAAUGAAGGNNNNNNNNNNNNNNNNNNNNNNNNNNNNNNNNNNNNNNNNNNNNNNNNNNNNNNNNNNNNNNNNNNNNNNNNNNNNNGUAAUGCGCCUGGUGCCGUAGCUAAUCGAGUAGCUCUAGAAGCAUGUGUAAAAGCUCGUAAUGAAGGAGAUGAUCUUGCUCAGGAAGGUAAUCAAAUUAUUCGCGAGGCUUCCAAAUGGAGCCCGGAACUAGCACAGUGGACAUUUUGGAUAAGUAAAAACAGUAGACAUUAGCAGAUAAAUUAGCAGGAAAUAAAGAAGGAUAAGGAGAAAGAACUCACGUAAUUAUCCUUCGUUCUCUUAAUUGAAUUGCAAUUAAACUCGGCCCAAUCUU